AAUAGAUACCCCGGUAGUCCAUGCCGUAACGUUGGGAACUAGAUGUAGGGCCUGUUCCACGGGGUUCUGUGUCGUAGCUAACGCAUUAAGUUCCCCGCCUGGGGAGUACGGCCGCAAGGCUAAAACUCAAAGGAAUUGACGGGGGGCCCGCACAAGCGGCGGAGCAUGCGGAUUAAUUCGAUGCAACGCGAAGAACCUUACCAAGGCUUGACAUAUAGAAGAACACUGCAGAGAUGCAGGACUCUUUGGACACUUCUAUACAGGUGGUGCAUGGUUGUCGUCAGCUCGUGUCGUGAGAUGUUCGGUUAAGUCCGGCAACGAGCGCAACCCUCGUCCUAUGUUGCCAGCACGUAAUGGUGGGAACUCAUGGGAUACUGCCGUGGUCAACACGGAGGAAGGUGGGGAUGACGUCAAAUCAUCAUGCCCCUUAUGUCUUGGGCUUCACGCAUGCUACAAUGGCCGGUACAAAGGGCUGCGAUACCGCAAGGUGGAGCGAAUCCCAAAAAGCCGGUCUCAGUUCGGAUUGGGGU
RNAcentral lists this ribosomal RNA (530 nucleotides) under uncultured bacterium. Its description in RNAcentral is "bacterial SSU rRNA". It matches the Rfam family "Bacterial small subunit ribosomal RNA", at positions 777 to 1304 of the family's 1533-position model. The record is from RNAcentral.